RNAcentral lists this ribosomal RNA (389 nucleotides) under Stygocapitella sp. 210_07. RNAcentral's name for it is "partial large subunit ribosomal RNA". It matches the Rfam family "Bacterial large subunit ribosomal RNA", at positions 1896 to 2578 of the family's 2925-position model. Lineage: Eukaryota; Metazoa; Annelida; Polychaeta; Parergodrilidae. The record is from RNAcentral.
UAGGUACAACCCUGCCCUCUGACUUUUAACAGCCGCGGUAUCCUAACCGUGCUAAGGUAGCAUAAUCACUUGCCUAUUAAUUAUAGGCUAGAAUGAACGGGAUCACUCACUUAAACUUAUUUUUAUUUAAAUUUAAAUUAAACUUUAAGUCAAAAUACUAAAUUAAAAAGAAAGACAAAAAGACCCUGAAAACUAUUAGAAAUAAUUAGUUGGGGCAACUAUAGACCACUCUAGCGUCUAUUUUUUUUUAAACUCUUAAAAUCUAAAGUAUCCAGUUACUUCAGGGAUAACAGACUAAUUUUAUUAUUUAGACCCAAUAAAUAAUAAAGAUUGGCACCUCGAUGUUGGCUUAUAUUUCCUUCAUAUAGCAACAUAUAUAGAAGGCAGCU